Molecule: ribosomal RNA, 1062 nt
Filed under: Salmonella enterica
Lineage: Bacteria; Pseudomonadati; Pseudomonadota; Gammaproteobacteria; Enterobacterales; Enterobacteriaceae
Description: bacterial SSU rRNA
Rfam family: Bacterial small subunit ribosomal RNA
Source: RNAcentral
GGUAACAGGAAGCAGCUUGCUGCUUCGCUGACGAGUGGCGGACGGGUGAGUAAUGUCUGGGAAACUGCCUGAUGGAGGGGGAUAACUACUGGAAACGGUGGCUAAUACCGCAUAACGUCGCAAGACCAAAGAGGGGGACCUUCGGGCCUCUUGCCAUCAGAUGUGCCCAGAUGGGAUUAGCUUGUUGGUGAGGUAACGGCUCACCAAGGCGACGAUCCCUAGCUGGUCUGAGAGGAUGACCAGCCACACUGGAACUGAGACACGGUCCAGACUCCUACGGGAGGCAGCAGUGGGGAAUAUUGCACAAUGGGCGCAAGCCUGAUGCAGCCAUGCCGCGUGUAUGAAGAAGGCCUUCGGGUUGUAAAGUACUUUCAGCGGGGAGGAAGGUGUUGUGGUUAAUAACCGCAGCAAUUGACGUUACCCGCAGAAGAAGCACCGGCUAACUCCGUGCCAGCAGCCGCGGUAAUACGGAGGGUGCAAGCGUUAAUCGGAAUUACUGGGCGUAAAGCGCACGCAGGCGGUCUGUCAAGUCGGAUGUGAAAUCCCCGGGCUCAACCUGGGAACUGCAUUCGAAACUGGCAGGCUUGAGUCUUGUAGAGGGGGGUAGAAUUCCAGGUGUAGCGGUGAAAUGCGUAGAGAUCUGGAGGAAUACCGGUGGCGAAGGCGGCCCCCUGGACAAAGACUGACGCUCAGGUGCGAAAGCGUGGGGAGCAAACAGGAUUAGAUACCCUGGUAGUCCACGCCGUAAACGAUGUCUACUUGGAGGUUGUGCCCUUGAGGCGUGGCUUCCGGAGCUAACGCGUUAAGUAGACCGCCUGGGGAGUACGGCCGCAAGGUUAAAACUCAAAUGAAUUGACGGGGGCCCGCACAAGCGGUGGAGCAUGUGGUUUAAUUCGAUGCAACGCGAAGAACCUUACCUGGUCUUGACAUCCACAGAACUUUCCAGAGAUGGAUUGGUGCCUUCGGGAACUGUGAGACAGGUGCUGCAUGGCUGUCGUCAGCUCGUGUUGUGAAAUGUUGGGUUAAGUCCCGCAACGAGCGCAACCCUUAUCCUUUGUUGCC